Molecule: long non-coding RNA, 428 nt
Filed under: Brassica rapa (field mustard)
Lineage: Eukaryota; Viridiplantae; Streptophyta; Magnoliopsida; Brassicales; Brassicaceae
Description: long non-coding RNA (BRAP_LNC005390)
Source: RNAcentral
AGUAAGCCGACCAACCACCAUAAUGUCGAUUUCCGGAAGAGGAAAUUACCAAAGCUUGUGAAUUAUUUUAAAAACUAAAUUGUUGAUUAGGUAUAUUUUUCUUUUAUUUCAUUUGGAAAUUUAUAUCCUUUUUACGAAAAUUUCUAUUUUUUUUUUUUUGCUUUUUCCUUAAUUUGAUAUCAUAAUUUGAUGCAAUGAUCAUAAAAAUCUACGAAAUGAAUCAUAGAAGACCAAAGCUUAACACAAAAGAAUAAAAGAGUUGUAACAACAAUUUCAUUUGUUCAAGACAAUAAGAACCAAACGCAAGACAAGACAUUAUCGCAGAUGUGGUUUGACAAUAAUAUUGAUUCAAGGUAGCAAUAUCAAAAAUCCGAGAGCAACAACAAAAGUCGUAAUUGGUCUACUACUAAACAGGUAAUGAAAUUACA